Molecule: ribosomal RNA, 628 nt
Filed under: uncultured eukaryote
Lineage: Eukaryota
Description: SSU rRNA
Rfam family: Eukaryotic small subunit ribosomal RNA
Source: RNAcentral
UUGUUGCGGUUAAAACGUUCGUAGUUGAAUUUGUGUCCCACACGGGUAAUUGGCCCACUUACGGGUUCUUAUUACUUGCCGGCUUGCUGGCUUUAGUGUGCGGACGUUUUACCGGUGAGGGAAACGGUGUAGUUUCGGCUGCAAUACGCCCCUUAUUUAUUUCAUAAACCCGUCUUGGUGCUUUUAAUCGAGUGCCAAUGUGGGCCGGUACUAUUACUUUGAACAAAUUAGAGUGCUUAAAGCAGGCUAAAUUUAAUGAAAGUUAAAACGCCUGAAUAUAUUUUGCAUGGAAUAAUGGAAUAGGACCUCUGUUCUACUUUCAUUGGUUUUUAGACCAAGAGGUAAUGAUUAAUAGAAGCAGUUGGGGGCAUUAGUAUUACGAGGCGAGAGGUGAAAUUCGUAGACCCUCGUAAGACUAACUUAAGCGAAAGCAUUUGCCAAGGAUGUUUUCAUUAAUCAAGAACGAAAGUUAGAGGAUCGAAGGCGAUCAGAUACCGCCCUAGUUCUAACCAUAAACGAUGCCAGCUAGCAAUUGUAUGUAGCUACUAAUUUUGGUUCAUACAGUCGCUGUCCGGGAAACCAAAGCUUUUGGGCUCCGGGGGAAGUAUGGUUGCAAAGCUGAAACUUA